CAAUUAAAAUGGCUAAAAUACAUCCUGGCAAACCAGCUUCUUCAUCUUCUUCCUGUUCAACCGAAAGAGAAACAUAUACUAUAUGGAUGAAAUCACUUGUGUUAAACUCAAAUGGGUAUACGGCCUACGAUUCCAGUGGAGAAGUCGUUUUCCGAAUAGAUAAUUAUGAUACCAAGUGUAGAAGUGAAGUUUAUUUAAUGGAUCUUCGUGGAAACAUAGUAUGCACAAUACUCCGAAAGAAACUACUGAAAUCCGGGCUCUGGGAUUGUUAUAACGAUAAAGAUUCUCGUACACCAUGGUUUAGCGUUUGAAAAACUUUUGGCUUUUUCAAGAAUAGUGGUUCCCUUUAUAAUGUUUUAGUUGGAACCAACGAGGAACAAAGCUCGAAUCAUCAUAAGAUGGAAGGAUCAGUGCACAGCUUAGAGUUCAAGAUAAUCGACGGUGGAGGACAAGUGGCAGCUGUGGUAGAAAGAAAACGAUCAUCUUCAGGAGUGGAGUUGGGUGAAGACGUAUUGUGUGUGACGGUGGAACCACAUGUGGAUCGUAUAUUCAUAAUGGCUCUAGUAGCGAUACAUGGGUUAAUUUGUGGCAAAAUGUAGAUGAUAUUCUUAGUUCCUCAUUUUUUUUUAAUACAUGGCACCUGUAUAUGCAAAAGUUGUAGUUGGUCCUUUUAGCCUACACGUAUCUAGUUAACACAUGAGGCUACGCUUUCUUUCAGUUUUGACCUGGUCAUGAUCAUACUUUCAUUUUCAGUUUAUUAGACGUUGGUAAUCCAGAUUCGAAUUAGU
Molecule: long non-coding RNA, 788 nt
Organism: Helianthus annuus (common sunflower)
Lineage: Eukaryota; Viridiplantae; Streptophyta; Magnoliopsida; Asterales; Asteraceae
Exons: 3
Source: RefSeq, a predicted model, not a curated record